This 497-nucleotide ribosomal RNA is filed under the name Veillonella parvula. RNAcentral describes it as "bacterial SSU rRNA". It matches the Rfam family "Bacterial small subunit ribosomal RNA", at positions 28 to 493 of the family's 1533-position model. The record is from RNAcentral. Lineage: Bacteria; Bacillati; Bacillota; Negativicutes; Veillonellales; Veillonellaceae.
GACGAACGCUGGCGGCGUGCUUAACACAUGCAAGUCGAACGAAGAGCGAUGGAAGCUUGCUUCUAUCAAUCUUAGUGGCGAACGGGUGAGUAACGCGUAAUCAACCUGCCCUUCAGAGGGGGACAACAGUUGGAAACGACUGCUAAUACCGCAUACGAUCUAAUCUCGGCAUCGAGGAUAGAUGAAAGGUGGCCUCUACAUGUAAGCUAUCACUGAAGGAGGGGAUUGCGUCUGAUUAGCUAGUUGGAGGGGUAACGGCCCACCAAGGCGAUGAUCAGUAGCCGGUCUGAGAGGAUGAACGGCCACAUUGGGACUGAGACACGGCCCAGACUCCUACGGGAGGCAGCAGUGGGGAAUCUUCCGCAAUGGACGAAAGUCUGACGGAGCAACGCCGCGUGAGUGAUGACGGCCUUCGGGUUGUAAAGCUCUGUUAAUCGGGACGAAAGGCCUUCUUGCGAAUAGUGAGAAGGAAUUGACGGAACCGGAAUAAAAAAGCC